GGCGAGAUAGCUCAGUUGGUUAGAGCGCAGGAUUCAUAACCCUGAGGUCCGGAGUUCAACUCUCCGUCUCGCUACAA
RNAcentral lists this transfer RNA (77 nucleotides) under Fluviicola taffensis DSM 16823. RNAcentral describes it as "tRNA-Met". It matches the Rfam family "tRNA". Rfam says of the family: Transfer RNA (tRNA) molecules are approximately 80 nucleotides in length. Their secondary structure includes four short double-helical elements and three loops (D, anti-codon, and T loops). The record is from RNAcentral. Lineage: Bacteria; Pseudomonadati; Bacteroidota; Flavobacteriia; Flavobacteriales; Crocinitomicaceae.